Molecule: long non-coding RNA, 5823 nt
Filed under: Setaria italica (foxtail millet)
Lineage: Eukaryota; Viridiplantae; Streptophyta; Magnoliopsida; Poales; Poaceae
Description: long non-coding RNA (SITA_LNC002683)
Rfam family: Plant small nucleolar RNA U3 (bases 108-329)
Source: RNAcentral
CUACUUCCAGCUCGGCAGCCAGCGUUUCGCUAAAAAAAAAAAGUCCCACCUCGGGAGAUUAGGCCACUGAUAACCAGCUUAUAAACCUAAGCCUUGGCACCCGUGGCACGACCUUACUUGAACAGGAUCUGUUCUAUAGGCUCGUACCGCUGCAUCCUUGACUAAUAAGGAGGCAAGCACUUAAGCUUGGUUGAUGACACAAGGCCUGUGGGCCAGAGCGUGAUUAACGGCCGGAUUUGCAGUAUCUAAUGCAUGAUCUAUGGCUGUAGAUGAUCGUUUCUGGUCAGCCUUAGCCUGGCUAGAGUGGCCCAUAGGUUGUCUGACAGGCUCUAUUUUUUUUACUUUUGAUUUCUACCCUUUUCAGUUUUGACUCCUGAUGUUUUUUUUUGAGGAAUUAUAUAAAUAUUAAACAAACUUCCUGAUGUUUUUUUUGAGGAAUUAUAUAAAUAUUAAACAAAGAGCACAGUACAGAAAUAAGGGUAAAUCUCCCCCAUUAAGUGUUAUUAAGUCCUGUAAGCAUCAGAGUGACUCUGGUUGUUGCAGAUAAAACUACAUGGUUGGGAGACCGACGGCAUGGUGUACUCCUGAAAUUUUAUUGAAGUCCAGAGCCUGUAAACAGUGCAGCUUCUCCAUGGUUGUUGCCAUCCUGGUAGUCGUGCAGAUUGUUAGAUGAUGUGUGUCCUAGUUUCUUGUCCCGGCGAUGUAGAUGUUGAUUUGUUCAGCUUAUUGUGUUCUGAUGCAGAAAACAUUGCAGAUUCUAAGUUCCCAGUAAUUCGAGUUUUGGUCUAGAGAUGAUGGACGUAAUUCGAGUUUGGAGCUGAGUGAUGGUGUAAAUUUUAAAAAAAAGUUGCACAUACUUUUUCUUUUUACUUUCAAACCAGAGUUCAGAACUUUGACAACCUCAAGCGUAAACCUGGCUUGCACAUCAGUACUGAACAGAUGAAUCAAGUUCAAAUUCAUCACACACUACGACCAAGAGCACCCUUCUGCAGCACUGAAAUAACAGUGCUUCAUCAGUACUUAGUUCAUACAAGCCGGCACAAGCGGCAAGCAUAAAACUGGCUCAGAACAUGAAAACUGUGGUGAAUGAUGGGCCAAGCGCAAAACCAUCAUACUCUAAUUAAAUCUCAGAGUAACACCAACAUAGUUCAACAUACCCAAUUUCCAACAGUUAAAAGUUGAUGUCUUACAUCGGAAACCAUUAACCAUCGCAGCAUAAAGAGAACAUACUGGGGAUAACCCAUAUAGGUUGCACCAUGCUGACACAACAUAUGCAAAUACGGACAUCAGGUUUGGUGGCAUCUCCAAGCAGCGGUGUGCUUUUGCCGAACUCAAACGCAACCCAACGGCCAGAAUCGUAGCAGUAUACACAGUUGCUCCUCCCUCCCCAUCUCUCAGGGUUCAUGCAUGAUAAUGGCUGGACCCCCUCGUCGUUGCUGAUGAAUAUCACCCAAUUCUCCAACUUCUCCACCUUCAUCCACUUUGCAGGUUCAGUUGAAGUGUCAAGACGAUAGGCUUCAAAGACAUCGCUUGUUCCUGGAUAAUAACUUUGGCAGCCGACCAUGAGAAGCAUGUCACCGCAAGCCACCAGCCACGGGGUGCUAAGAUGCCAUUUAGUCAUGCUAUUUUUCUCACCCCACGAAACUGGUAUUUUCUGUAACUGGAUCCGGGGCGUCAAGUGCACCAUGAACAGCCUACGAUCAGAAACCAUGCCAAAACCUGGCCUUUGAAGACUACAAAUUUGGCUAGUGUUCCAUUGCGAGGAGAGCGUUUCAACCAAGAGUUACUACCAACACGCCAAAAGAAGUUGGACGACCCAGUGGAGACAAUGAGAUGUGAGUUGGGAGAUGCUAGCGGAGCUGUGAGGGCAGCACUAUAGUAGAUCUCAUCAAUUGGCAGUGGUGGAGCUGAAACAUCAAUACCAGUGAACACAUCAAAAAGAAAACAGGAUCUGUUGCUGGAGAAUAUCAUAUGGCCAAAGGAAGCACCCCUAAAGGCAAACUCACCCAAAGCAUUUUGUGGGCAGCUACGUCCAUAACCAUAAUCGAUAUGAAGCACAGGAAUUUUUGAGAGCAAAGUGAUUUAUCUAGGCUGGCUAGAUCAGUGACAUAACAUGGCCGUUUGGGUAUAAAGAUGUUGCUGGCAACAUUUGGCAACGGGCGAGGGGAGCAGAAAGGACAUCAGGCUGGAGAAGAAGAGGUGGGAAGAGUGUGUACAAGGUAGAUUUGGAUGGGUAAGAAGAGAAGGCAGAGCUCCACGGGUGGCAGGUGGCUGCAAAUGCAAGGAGGUCGCGGAACGAGCCCAACAACGGAAUGAUGGAGUCCAGCAAGCCAUCUGGGAGAUCUGCCCAAUUUCGAAGCACUGUAAAAUGAGACAAGGUAAAAAAAGAUCCAACUUGAAAGGAAUUUAACUUGAAAGGAACUUACCUACAAACUUAUAGGUAAAACUUAACAGACUUAUAGGUAAAACUUAACAGAUAGUAAUGAAAGGAACGUAACACAAAGAACUGAUCCAAUUUAACUUGAAAUAAAUUGCUAAGCAUGGAUGGCAACAAACUUCAAAGGAAUUGAACUAGCACUAAAAAGAAAGGUUCAACGAACAGGACAUGUUACAGAAGUUAACAUUACUGUUCCAACACAAGUGCAAACAUUAUUUUCAAAACCCAUCACUACACAUCACUACAAUAAAACAAAGUCAUGGCACAAUCACUUCUUGUUGGUCAUGUCCCAGUAGAAUUGUAUCCAGCUCAUUCGGUCCUCUUUCAUUGUCAUCUCCAUCAACACCGACCGAUACUCCGCGCUCUUAGUACAUAAAUAUACAGCCUGGCAGUGAAGCGGAGACCCCUCCUGUAUACCAUCUUCUUUAAGGAGCUGCAUACAACGAACCAUUUGUUCAUUGGUACGGCAUGCACGUUGCAGGCUCCUCUUUGCCACACUCUCAGAUAGCUCCCUGAUGUACUGCUCCAAGUUGUCACUUCUUUUUUUGUAGGACUGUCCAUAGAGAAUUCCCGGGCCGACCGUUUGGACAUGGCACGAGCACUACUAGCAGGCGGGGGGUCCUGGUCCAAGUCCGCUGCACUGCCCUCAGUCCCCACGCUAGGUGUCGUCUCACGAAUACCUCCUGCCGUCAGCAAGGUGCCCCUGUCUUGAGGUUCAUGGCCAAACAACUCAAACAAUUCGUCGAGGAAAGGUGGAGGCUUAACAGAAGUCGGCUGGGAACUCGGCUGGGACCUCGGCGGGGCAUCACCACCAGUGGUGUCCUGCAAUGUUGAAGCAACAGUAAAUGAUCAAGGCCAAAAACAUAAAAGUACAAAUAAGAUGCCGAGUAACUUAGGGGCCUGUCAUAGGACGUACCUCUUCGUCCUCUUCCCAAUAGGUGGCAUCAACAGAAACACCACCAGUUUGUGUGUCGCGCCCUAAACCAGAUUGCUUUUGCAAGGCCAUCCAACUCAGGAAUGUUCUUCUCAGGUUGUUGAGCUUGUUCUGCAGCUGCUUGCUGCCCAAAUGCAACCCAGUUUGUGCCCUGAAGCUUGAGUACACGUUCUUCCAUCCCAACUUAGUGAGGCAUCUGUUGCUCCAAUUGAACUGGUUCUUCUGAGCAAUGCACAACCAGCAAAGUUUUCGUCGUUCCCUUAUCCCAGCUGGCACGGUUAUUCAUCUGAGUACACAGGAGCUGCAAUUAUAUUGCACCGAGCUACGGAUAACCAGGAGGCAUACAACUAAACAAUCUAAAAUUACUGGAUAUGUUAUUUGCCUUAGCAUGUGUCUUGGCGCGUUUGUGGCGAAAAUUGUACGGGCACACCGGUGGGAGAGAGCACGAUGAAGUCGAUGACGAUGCCAGUGUGGGCACCGUUGGUACUUCCUCGCGAUUGGCCUGCUAGUAGGCUUGUAUCAGUCGCCUGCAAAGGUGAGAAAACCAAAAACAGACUGUGAAAAAAAUCCAAAAGGUUGAAAAUACAAUCACGAGCACAAAAGAAAGAUUUGAGGUUUUGAUGUGCCAAUUUCAUCAUUUGAAUCAGUUAUCCUGAAUUAAAUUUGGACACUAGUUUCAUCUGAGAAUUAAAGUAAGAGUGAUAUGCAAUAAAAAUAAAGAAAUAAGCAUGCCAUGCUAGAAUGUUGCAGUAGCUAGUUUAACAUCUAACAUAGUCAAAACAUCUCAUUUUAUUCAUGCAACAAUACCAAGCAUAUGGUAUCAAGUAGCAACAAUAAGAAGAUUAAGUAAACGCUAAAUAGUUGACCAGCACUUCAUAUUAAGGAUGCCUUCUUUCAAUCAUUAUCACAGUCAUCAGUACAUCUGGUCUAAAGCACAAAUAAGGCAUCUUUGUACACCAAGUAAUUCCCAAUUUAAGUUGUAAUUAGCUUAACAAGAUAUGAGCAACCAUCUGGAAAUUCUGUUGCCAGUACAGAACUGACCCACGGCAUUAGAUCAAUCAAACUACCAACCAAACCGCAGUACCAUGGUUGACCCACCCUAAAUCUCCACGAAUCCGAUGGGGGAGCAGCAUUACCUGUGAGCGAAGGGGAGGGAGGGGGCGACGGACUGGGAGAAAUUCCUUGCACGCGACGGCCCACCGACGGCGGAGAACGGGCGCGACCGAGGGAGCGGGUGAGCGGAGGGAGCGGCGGCGGCGGAUCCGGAGCGACCGCGACCGACGGAGGGGGCGAGAUGCAGGAGCGACGGCGGCGUCGCGCGGCCGAGCGCGACGGAGCGGGCGACGCGAUGGCCGGCCGACGGCGGAGAGCGGGCACAAGCGAGGGAGCGGGUGAGCGGAGGGAGCGGCGGCGGCAGAUCCGGAGCGACCGCGAUCGACGGAGGGGGCGAGAUGCGGGAGCGACGGCGGCGUCACGCGACCAAGCGCGACGGAGCGGGCGACGCGACGGCCGGCCGGCGGCGGAGAGCGGGCGCAAGCGAGGGAGCGGGUGAGCGGAGGGAGCGGCAGCGGCGGAAAGGGAGCGAGAGAGAGCGACGGGCGUAUGUGGCGUCUGUGGAUGAGGACGGGAGGCGACAGGGAUUUGGGAGGAACGCGUCGGUGGAGCAGCCGCUCGAACGGCGUCGGUGAAGCGCUCCGAACGGCUGGGCUGAAAAGCCCAACCGGAAGAAGCCCAGCGCAGCAGCAGAAGCCCACCGAACGGGCUGAUAACUUGCAGGUGAAAGAAGCUUCUCUGUGACAAACCGUAAACCCAAAGCCAACAUUAGCAGCUUGAAGUGGAUACAAUGAACCAUACAAAUAAAGCUGACAAAUUUAUAAGAAAUAUAAAUGCCAGUUUUAAGCACAAGAAUGCAACAGAACAGAACAUGCACAAUAAUACUAGUCGCAAAACAAAACAGUGUGAUCUUGGUACGGUUGGAUUACAUGGAUUAUGCCUUGUUUGCUAAUAUAAUGCAGUAGUGCCUAUAAAUGUGUAAAGCCUUCUUGCAGUCUAAAGUCUUUUUAAGUACUGUCCCUCCAUAAUCUGAUCAGUAAUUUCAAAGAGACAAGCCAUCGCUAUCCUAUUAGUCUAUUACAGGAAAAUAAUUAAAACAUCACGUAGAUACAAUUUAUAAUGGAUAGACCGAUAGAAGCUAACACUAUUGUCUACUGGGGACAUAGCACCCACUGUAGAACCAUUCAAACAGUAAUAUGAUUGGCACAACUGAUUUAAUGGAUAAUCUUUUCAGCUCAGAUUAACUACCAUUUAUCCGCAGAAUAUCAACUUCAGUUGCCGUGACCUUAAUGAUUCAAGUCAGAACCAGAACGAAUCAAAUAAACCGAAUGGACUGGUUUCCGGGGGCAUCGAGCCCCACACAGAACUGCCGGCAAGCAUUGGGGAUCCGGACAAAAAC